UACGUAGGGCGCAAGCGUUGUCCGGAAUUAUUGGGCGUAAAGAGCUCGUAGGCGGCUUGUCACGUCGGAUGUGAAAGCCCGAGGCUUAACCUCGGGUCUGCAUUCGGUACGGGCAGACUAGAGUGUGGUAGGGGAGACUGGAAUUCCUGGUGUAGCGGUGAAAUGCGCAGAUAUCAGGAGGAACACCGAUGGCGAAGGCAGGUCUCUGGGCCACUACUGACGCUGAGAAGCGAAAGCAUGGGGAGCGAACAGG
This 253-nucleotide ribosomal RNA is filed under the name uncultured bacterium. Its description in RNAcentral is "partial 16S ribosomal RNA". It matches the Rfam family "Bacterial small subunit ribosomal RNA", at positions 524 to 776 of the family's 1533-position model. The record is from RNAcentral.